RNAcentral lists this ribosomal RNA (600 nucleotides) under obligately oligotrophic bacterium POI-42. Its description in RNAcentral is "bacterial SSU rRNA". It matches the Rfam family "Bacterial small subunit ribosomal RNA", at positions 58 to 647 of the family's 1533-position model. The record is from RNAcentral.
CAAGUCGAGCGGAAACGAGAAGGUGCUUGCACCUUCGGCGUCGAGCGGCGGACGGGUGAGUAAUGGCUGGGUACCUGCCCUGAUGUGGGGGAUAACAGUUGGAAACGACUGCUAAUACCGCAUAACGUCUACGGACCAAAGAGGGGGAUCUUCGGACCUCUCGCGUCAGGAUGGGCCCAGUUGGGAUUAGCUAGUUGGUGAGGUAAUGGCUCACCAAGGCGACGAUCCCUAGCUGGUUUGAGAGGAUGAUCAGCCACACUGGAACUGAGACACGGUCCAGACUCCUACGGGAGGCAGCAGUGGGGAAUAUUGCACAAUGGGGGAAACCCUGAUGCAGCCAUGCCGCGUGUGUGAAGAAGGCCUUCGGGUUGUAAAGCACUUUCAGCUGUGAGGAAGGGUGAGUCGUUAAUAGCGGUUCAUCUUGACGUUAGCAGCAGAAGAAGCACCGGCUAACUCCGUGCCAGCAGCCGCGGUAAUACGGAGGGUGCGAGCGUUAAUCGGAAUUACUGGGCGUAAAGCGCAUGCAGGCGGUCUGUUAAGCAAGAUGUGAAAGCCCCGGGCUCAACCUGGGAAAGUCAUUUUGAACUGGCAGGCUAGAGU